GCCCAGCUAGCUCAGUUGGUAGAGCAUGGGACACUUGCACUCAGGAUCAUGGGUUUAAGCCCCAUGCUGGGCA
Molecule: non-coding RNA, 73 nt
Organism: Pangasianodon gigas (Mekong giant catfish)
Lineage: Eukaryota; Metazoa; Chordata; Actinopteri; Siluriformes; Pangasiidae
Source: the annotation of a GenBank genome assembly